RNAcentral lists this ribosomal RNA (466 nucleotides) under uncultured bacterium. Its description in RNAcentral is "bacterial SSU rRNA". It matches the Rfam family "Bacterial small subunit ribosomal RNA", at positions 198 to 645 of the family's 1533-position model. The record is from RNAcentral.
GGAGGAAAGUAGGGGAUCGAAAGACCUUAUGCUUUUGGAGCGGCCGAUGUCUGAUUAGCUAGUUGGUGGGGUAAUUGCCUACCAAGGCGACGAUCAGUAGUUGGUCCGAGAGGACGACCAGCCACACUGGGACUGAGACACGGCCCAGACUCCUACGGGAGGCAGCAGUGGGGAAUUUUGGACAAUGGGCGCAAGCCUGAUCCAGCAAUGCCGCGUGAGUGAAGAAGGCCUUCGGGUUGUAAAGCUCUUUCAGUUGAGAAGAAAAGAUUGUAACUAAUAAUUACAGUUCAUGACGGUAUCAACAGAAGAAGCACCGGCUAACUACGUGCCAGCAGCCGCGGUAAUACGUAGGGUGCGAGCGUUAAUCGGAAUUACUGGGCGUAAAGGGUGCGCAGGCGGUUCUGUAAGUCAGAUGUGAAAUCCCCGGGCUUAACCUGGGAACUGCGUUUGAAACUACAAAGCUAGA